RNAcentral lists this ribosomal RNA (548 nucleotides) under uncultured bacterium. Its description in RNAcentral is "bacterial SSU rRNA". It matches the Rfam family "Bacterial small subunit ribosomal RNA", at positions 355 to 896 of the family's 1533-position model. The record is from RNAcentral.
UGGGGAAUUUUGGACAAUGGGCGAAAGCCUGAUCCAGCAAUGCCGCGUGCAGGACGAAGGCCUUCGGGUUGUAAACUGCUUUUGUACGGAACGAAAAGGUAGCUCCUAAUACGAGCUGCUGAUGACGGUACCGUAAGAAUAAGCACCGGCUAACUACGUGCCAGCAGCCGCGGUAAUACGUAGGGUGCGAGCGUUAAUCGGAAUUACUGGGCGUAAAGCGUGCGCAGGCGGUUUUGUAAGAUAGAUGUGAAAUCCCCGGGCUCAACCUGGGAACUGCAUAUAUGACUGCAAAGCUAGAGUACGGUAGAGGGGGAUGGAAUUCCGCGUGUAGCAGUGAAAUGCGUAGAUAUGCGGAGGAACACCGAUGGCGAAGGCAAUCCCCUGGACCUGUACUGACGCUCAUGCACGAAAGCGUGGGGAGCAAACAGGAUUAGAUACCCUGGUAGUCCACGCCCUAAACGAUGUCAACUGGUUGUUGGGUCUUUACUGACUCAGUAACGUAGCUAACGCGUGAAGUUGACCGCCUGGGGAGUACGGCCGCAAGGUUG